Molecule: ribosomal RNA, 403 nt
Filed under: bacterium
Lineage: Bacteria
Also listed under: 1 other name
Description: partial 16S ribosomal RNA
Rfam family: Bacterial small subunit ribosomal RNA
Source: RNAcentral
UGGGGAAUAUUGCACAAUGGGGGAAACCCUGAUGCAGCGACGCCGCGUGAACGAAGAAGGUAUUCGUAUCGUAAAGUUCUGUCCUAUGGGAAGAUAAUGACAGUACCAUAGAAGAAAGCUCCGGCUAAAUACGUGCCAGCAGCCGCGGUAAUACGUAUGGAGCGAGCGUUGUCCGGAAUUAUUGGGCGUAAAGGGUACGCAGGCGGUUUAAUAAGUCGAAUGUUAAAGAUCGGGGCUCAACCCCGUAAAGCAUUGGAAACUGAUAAACUUGAGUAGUGGAGAGGAAAGUGGAAUUCCUAGUGUAGUGGUGAAAUACAUAGAUAUUAGGAGGAAUACCAGUAGCGAAGGCGACUUUCUGGACACAAACUGACGCUGAGGUACGAAAGCGUGGGGAGCAAACAGG